Molecule: long non-coding RNA, 2067 nt
Organism: Peromyscus eremicus (cactus mouse)
Lineage: Eukaryota; Metazoa; Chordata; Mammalia; Rodentia; Cricetidae
Exons: 2
Source: RefSeq, a predicted model, not a curated record
UAGACAGAACUGGGAAGGUGGGGAAUCUUACUAAGAUCAUCUACCCUUAUUUCUCCAUUUUAUGUAAUGAAACUGAAGUCCAGAAGUAAUGGGAUUGACUUGACCAAAGCCAAGGAUUUAGUGAAGGACAGAGUUAAGGGUCCAAUUCCCAGAGAUAUUCCCACGGGCCUUCAGCUUUCUGAGGUAGCCUUGGAACUACAGCAUCUUUAGAAAAAUCCUUUGGGCAGAAAAGAAAAGAGGAAGACCGAAUGAGCUGUACAAUGACCAGUAAUGAAGUCCCUUUGGCAGCCAUGUGACUACUGGGAUCUAGGGAGGCAGGCCUGCACAUCUUCUUUAUCUCAUUCCCAACACUACAGGGUUCACAAGUGUUCUCAAGCCACUCAAAGACUUCUCAAUGAAUGAGCAAAUCGGUAUCGGCAUGGUGAAUGAGAAAGUGAACGAGGAAACAGAAUCGGAACACAGUUCUGGUUCAAAUCCACAUGUGAUGAGAUGACUCCACCUCAGCCACUUCAGCUUCAUGUGCUAAUCUGGGUCAAGGAUGGUCAGCUGGAGGAGGAGGGCAAGGUCAUUUCACAGUACAGCACUGUAAACUAGCCACAGCUUUCAGGGUCACUGAGCUCAUGCGCUCUUAGAGAGUUCCGCUACGUAGGGUACAUCUACCGCUCAAUAGCUAUCUGCUCUUACGCACAAUCCUAGAACUCGUCUCUAAGACUAUCCAGUGCUGACACACUUGAACUCUUGAGGCACUAGAUCGAUUCCAUGUUGCUCUUCACCUUCCUUUUAGCUGCUAAAGCAAAAGAAAACAAAGAGAGCUGUGGAGACGGCUCAGGAGAUAAAGCACUCGCCUCACAAGCAAGAGAACCAGCGUGUGGAUCCCAGAACCAAAGUAAAUGCUGGGAGAAUGUAGCAGUCUGCCUGUAACUCCAGCCCCGGAAGGCCGAGACGGGGAUCCCCAGAGGCAGGUGGUCAGUGAGCUCUGGGACUGAGAGACUCUGACUCAAUGAACUAAGGUGGAAGGACAGUGGAGGAUGCUUCCCAACAGCAACCUCGAGCCAUAACAUGUACACACACCCCUUACCCCUCCAUACACGCACACACACGAGAGUGGAAAAAGCUUAUUUUAAAAAGGUUAUAAUGAUGACAGGUGUUCAUUUUCUAAACACCAGUAAGACUAACAAUACAGUAGACAUAUUUAACACCCCACACUCUUCAAGUCAUAGUCAUAGAACAUUUCUUGAGCUAGUAAGAUGGCUUAACAGGGGAAGGCACUUGCUGCCAAGUCCGAUGACUCCAACUAGAUAGGAGAGAAUAGACUCGUGAAAGUUCUUGUAUAUUAGAGGGACCAGUCUUAAUAUUACACAUCCCAGGGACUCAGGAGAGAGAACUACUAACGGCGAGGACUAUUUUCAGGAAAUAGAAUCUCAGCACACCGAGCUCUAUAGUCCACUUGCUUUAAUUCCUCUGGCCUAACAUCCACAUAUACACAGCUUCAGUUCUGUUCUCGUGCCUACCUCCUUUCUUGCCUGAUUUCUCUCUAUACUUAUCUAUUGAUCCCUCUUAAGUUCUAUCUUAAUUCUCUCAUCUUAAUUCUGCCUCAUCUAGGUCCUUUUCACCUUGUUUUUACCCUGCUAGGGCUUCCCCAUCUGGCUCUUCCUCAUCUUCCAUCUCAUUCCUCUAGUACUCUCUUCUAGCCCUUCAGUCUAGUUCUUCCCCAUCUCAGUUUGUUCCUCUCAAGUUCUUACCCAUCUAGUUCUUCCAUUCUCUUUUCUCUUCUCCUUCUCUUGUGCCCUGGAAGUCCUGGUAUAUAAAGCCAGGCUUCCAGGGUCAAACGGAGGGGUGAUAAGAAUCACAAUGAGAGGCAAUAACCAUUAAUUAUCAUUUGCAACCCCUAAGGGAAGUGACAAAUGGGGAAAUGAAUUACCUAAAGGCUAAAUUCCGGUAAUAUCUAAGAAGAGGGAUUUACCUCUUCUAUAGUGCUCAACUAUAGUCUUAAACGUGAUUAGUAGAAAUUGUUAAGAAACUAUAAGUUGCUAGGUCAAUGGGAGAAAAUAAAACUGUCUUCUUUUU